Photinus pyralis (common eastern firefly) is the source of this 715-nucleotide long non-coding RNA. RefSeq lists it as uncharacterized. The record is from RefSeq and is a predicted model, not a curated record. NCBI's taxonomy places the organism in Eukaryota, Metazoa, Arthropoda, Insecta, Coleoptera, Lampyridae. The transcript has 2 exons.
AACAUUUGUGUCAUGAUACUUUUGUUUUAUUAAUGCUUGAUUUGUUUUAAUUUUAGAACGCAAAACUAUACAAUCGGUCAACAGUCGACAAUAACAGUAAGUUGGUGAUAUGUUAUCACGUCAUUAGUGAAAGAAAGUAUAUAAGAUGCUUCUGCCACAUAGACAGAGAAAUAACACGAUGUUUAGUUCAUGUAAAACAUUUGAGAUACCUCUCAGCAUAUUGUUUCUUCUGAUAAGAUUAUUUGAGGUUAACUGUAUGUGUUUUAUGCUUCAUGUAACCGAUGAAGAACGGACCUGCGCAGAAUUAGCAAAUUUAGGUAAAACUCCGGUUUUGGAAUUUUACCAAACCAAUUCAGAGAGCCCAAAGUUUGUCGAUUAUCUGGACUGCGUCUUCUUGAAGUGGAAUUUCACAACCCCCACUGGGUCAAUCUUGUUUGACAAUAUCAUCGUUUCUCGCGGUCUGGCGUGGAAAAUGUCACGUAUGUGCGAGGAUACCUUCAGUUUAAUAAUUGAGCUAACAGAAGAGUUUAAAAAAUCCGCAAUUUUCUGCAAGGAAAAUCCUCCGAGCGUUCUUAGCCCUUUUACUGUAAGAAAGUGCAUUUCCGAGAAUUAUAGACUGUCCUCGCGUGCGGUUAAAACUUGAAUACUUUGGUAGUGUAGUGAAAUAAACAAGUUGUAAAUCAGCAUAUGCAUGAUUAAAGCGCAUUUUUGGUAA